This 374-nucleotide unclassified non-coding RNA is filed under the name Hevea brasiliensis (rubber tree). The record is from RNAcentral. Lineage: Eukaryota; Viridiplantae; Streptophyta; Magnoliopsida; Malpighiales; Euphorbiaceae.
GGAGAGGAGCAAGAGAAAGGUAAAAAGGAAGUUUGUGAAAUGUUGAAUGUUCUUGAUAAUGAGCUAAAGGGUAAAAAGUUCUUUGUGGGUGACAAAUUUGGAUAUGCUGAUAUGGCUGCGAAUUUUGUUGGAUAUUGGCUAGGAGUUUUUCAAGAAGCCUCUGGAGUUGUAUUAGUAACGAGUGAAAAAUUUUCAAAUUUUUGUGUUUGGAGAGACGAAUAUGUUAAUUGCAGUCAAGUCAAGGAGUAUCUACCUCCAAGAAAUGAUUUGCUUGCUUUUGUCGAAGCUCGGACUCAAGCUUCAGCUUCUAAAGCAUAAAUACCUCCUCGUUCAUCUUAUGAAGUUUCGAAUUAUGUAUUGCAAUAAACUUAUAA